RNAcentral lists this long non-coding RNA (915 nucleotides) under Homo sapiens (human). RNAcentral's name for it is "non-protein coding lnc-STPG4-3:8". Lineage: Eukaryota; Metazoa; Chordata; Mammalia; Primates; Hominidae. The record is from RNAcentral.
CUCGUUUGCGAUGUUCCGUUAUCUGGAUGCGGCGGAGGGAUCUGGCGGAGGGAGGUGUUUAUGAGGCGCUGGGGGCGGAGGAGGCGAAUUAGUCCGAGUGGAGAGAGCGAGCUGAGUGGUUGUGUGGUCGCGUCUCGGAAACCGGUAGCGCUUGCAGCAUGGCUGACCAACUGACUGAAGAGCAGAUUGCAGAGUUUGUACAAAUGAUGACAGCAAAGUGAAGACCUUGUACAGAAUGUGUUAAAUUUCUUGUACAAAAUUGUUUAUUUGCCUUUUCUUUGUUUGUAACUUAUCUGUAAAAGGUUUCUCCCUACUGUCAAAAAAAUAUGCAUGUAUAGUAAUUAGGACUUCAUUCCUCCAUGUUUUCUUCCCUUAUCUUACUGUCAUUGUCCUAAAACCUUAUUUUAGAAAAUUGAUCAAGUAACAUGUUGCAUGUGGCUUACUCUGGAUAUAUCUAAGCCCUUCUGCACAUCUAAACUUAGAUGGAGUUGGUCAAAUGAGGGAACAUCUGGGUUAUGCCUUUUUUAAAGUAGUUUUCUUUAGGAACUGUCAGCAUGUUGUUGUUGAAGUGUGGAGUUGUAACUCUGCGUGGACUAUGGACAGUCAACAAUAUGUACUUAAAAGUUGCACUAUUGCAAAACGGGUGUAUUAUCCAGGUACUCGUACACUAUUUUUUUGUACUGCUGGUCCUGUACCAGAAACAUUUUCUUUUAUUGUUACUUGCUUUUUAAACUUUGUUUAGCCACUUAAAAUCUGCUUAUGGCACAAUUUGCCUCAAAAUCCAUUCCAAGUUGUAUAUUUGUUUUCCAAUAAAAAAAUUACAAUUUACCCAAUGGUUGCUCUGCAUCUGAGUCAUUUAACUGUUGAAGUCUAAUAAUUUUGAAAAUAAAAUAUGGCAUUGGUUUCUGCUUGGUA